RNAcentral lists this ribosomal RNA (896 nucleotides) under uncultured bacterium. Its description in RNAcentral is "bacterial SSU rRNA". It matches the Rfam family "Archaeal small subunit ribosomal RNA", at positions 455 to 1353 of the family's 1478-position model. The record is from RNAcentral.
GUGCCAGCCGCCGCGGUAAUACCUGCAGCCCAAGUGGUGGUCGAUUUUAUUGAGUCUAAAACGUUCGUAGCCGGUUUGAUAAAUCCUUGGGUAAAUCGGGAAGCUUAACUUUCCGACUUCCGAGGAGACUGUCAAACUUGGGACCGGGAGAGGCUAGAGGUACUUCUGGGGUAGGGGUAAAAUCCUGUAAUCCUAGAAGGACCACCGGUGGCGAAGGCGUCUAGCUAGAACGGAUCCGACGGUGAGGGACGAAGCCCUGGGUCGCAAACGGGAUUAGAUACCCCGGUAGUCCAGGGUGUAAACGCUGCAGACUUGGUGUUGGAGGCCCUUCGGGGGCAUUCAGUGCCGGAGAGAAGUUGUUAAGUCUGCUACUUGGGGAGUACGUCCGCAAGGAUGAAACUUAAAGGAAUUGGCGGGGGAGCACCGCAACGGGAGGAGCGUGCGGUUUAAUUGGAUUCAACACCGGAAAACUCACCAAGGGCGACUGUUACAUGAAAGCCAGGCUAAUGACCUUGCUUGAUUUUCAGAGAGGUGGUGCAUGGCCGUCGUCAGUUCGUACCGUAAGGCGUUCUCUUAAGUGAGAUAACGAACGAGACCCUCACCUAUAAUUGCUAACCAGGUCUCCGGAUCUGGUGCACAUUAUCGGGACCGCUGGCGCUAAGUCAGAGGAAGGAGAGGUCAACGGUAGGUCAGUAUGCCCCGAAUCUCUUGGGCUACACGCGCGCUACAAAGGGCGGGACAAUGGGCUCCGACGCCGAAAGGCGAAGGUAAUCUCGAAACCCGUCCGUAGUUCGGAUUGAGGGUUGUAACUCACCCUCAUGAAGCUGGAUUCCGUAGUAAUCGCGAAUCAGCAACUCGCGGUGAAUAUGCCCCUGCUCCUUGCACACACCGCCCGU